Molecule: ribosomal RNA, 273 nt
Filed under: uncultured Sphingobacteriales bacterium
Lineage: Bacteria; Pseudomonadati; Bacteroidota; Sphingobacteriia; Sphingobacteriales
Description: partial 16S ribosomal RNA
Rfam family: Bacterial small subunit ribosomal RNA
Source: RNAcentral
GUUAGUUGCCAUCUGGUAAUGCAGGGGACUCUAGGCGAAACUGCCACCGUAAGGUGAGAGGAAGUGGGAUGACGGUCAAAUCAGCACGGCCCUUAUGUCCAGGGCUACACACGUGUUACAAUGGUCGGUACAGAGGGCAGCUACCUGGUGACAGGAUGCUAAUCUCGAAAACCGGUCUCAGUUCGGAUCGAAGUCUGCAACUCGACUUCGUGAAGCUGGAUUCGCUAGUAAUCGCGCAUCAGCUAUGGCGCGGUGAAUACGUUCCCGGGCCUU